This is a long non-coding RNA of Chlorocebus sabaeus (green monkey), 847 nucleotides long. RefSeq lists it as uncharacterized. Lineage: Eukaryota; Metazoa; Chordata; Mammalia; Primates; Cercopithecidae. The record is from RefSeq and is a predicted model, not a curated record.
GGGUCUUCCUUGUGGUGUGGACUGGAGGGAGCAGCUGGGAGGAAAGACCCUGAGGCACAACCCCACGGCGUGGCAUAUUCUGGGCGAUCCUGCAAUUAAAAUCCCUGUGCUGCAGCAUCGCCGAAAAUGGGAUUCGCAUAAUUUGAAAUUUGAGGAAAAUCUCUAAAUACUUUAAUUUUGAUAGAAACUAUUUCCACUGCUGACAUGUGUCUACACCUAUAAUUUCAGCUGAUAAAUUGCUGUAAUUUCUCCUCCAUUUCAUGUUCUUUCGAACAUUAAUUGUCAGUUGCAGGGAAGGAACUUCUAAAGUAAAAGCUGGCAAGACUCAGCAGAAAAUAAAUAUCAAAAGCUGCUUCUGCCGCCCCAGCUUCACUCAGGCCCUGGCCACUCCUUCACCGGUCUACACUGCUGCGUCCUAGAACCACCGGGUCUGCAACCAGCCGUGAGGCGUGAUGCUCACUCGGAAGCUCCCAGAACCUGGAGGCUGCCUUCACUCAACACGUGAACAAGCAAGGGGCCAGGUUCAAUUAAACACCUGCCCGCCCAGAGCACCAGGCCCAAAAGCAAGCAAACAACAAACAAAAUCAAAUCAGGCCUUCACAACUCCCCAAAUCAUGUGUAAGUUUCUACACAGCAGAAGCCAAAAAUAUAUGUUAUUUAACUGGGUCCUAUUUACAUAUAUUUUUUAUGGCUGCUCUAAAAAAUUAUCACAAACAUAGUGGCUUCACCCCAUUUCCCCUGAUGUGAUUAUUACACAUUGGAUGCCUAUAUCAAAAUAUCUCAUGGACCCCAUAAAUAGCUACACCCUCUAUGUACUCAUGACACUUUUUUAUAAAGAGAACACUUA